UACCUGCGGAGGGAUCAUUACCGAGUUUACAACUCCCAAACCCCUGUGAACAUACCACUUGUUGCCUCGGCGGAUCAGCCCGCUCCCGGUAAAACGGGACGGCCCGCCAGAGGACCCCUAAACUCUGUUUCUAUAUGUAACUUCUGAGUAAAACCAUAAAUAAAUCAAAACUUUCAACAACGGAUCUCUUGGUUCUGGCAUCGAUGAAGAACGCAGCAAAAUGCGAUAAGUAAUGUGAAUUGCAGAAUUCAGUGAAUCAUCGAAUCUUUGAACGCACAUUGCGCCCGCCAGUAUUCUGGCGGGCAUGCCUGUUCGAGCGUCAUUUCAACCCUCAAGCACAGCUUGGUGUUGGGACUCGCGUUAAUUCGCGUUCCCCAAAUUGAUUGGCGGUCACGUCGAGCUUCCAUAGCGUAGUAGUAAAACCCUCGUUACUGGUAAUCGUCGCGGCCACGCCGUUAAACCCCAACUUCUGAAUGUGACC
Molecule: ribosomal RNA, 481 nt
Filed under: Fusarium oxysporum
Lineage: Eukaryota; Fungi; Ascomycota; Sordariomycetes; Hypocreales; Nectriaceae
Description: eukaryotic LSU rRNA
Rfam family: 5.8S ribosomal RNA (bases 169-322)
Source: RNAcentral